CCAACCGGGUAACUGGCCUUCCACCACAAUAUUUUAAGUUAUCUUUAUAAUUUUGGUAAUAAAUUCCUACGAGCUGGUAAUUAUAUCCUUCAAAUUUAGAUAACAUUCUUUACCAUAAUUUUAAUCAAGUGCACUACAAGUUGUGGUGCUGACGAGAUCUACAUUUUGGUGUGGUUUAUUACCAUAGUGCUCAACUCAAGUCAAAAUGGCGAAAUUAAUCCUAUUCUGCCCGUGGAAGAAAGUGAUAAAAACUUCUGGAAAUUAUAUAGAAUUUUUGGAAACAGUGAAGCAAAAAUUUGAGUUGGAAAUCAGAACAGAGAUUUUUCUGCAAGACGUCAACCGGUGUGGGCUCAUCCAAAAUCGACUGGAGAUUCAUCGGAAUUUGAAGGGGGGACAGACGAGUGUCAAAAACCAUAGUUUGCA
Long non-coding RNA from Folsomia candida, 423 nucleotides. RefSeq lists it as uncharacterized. NCBI's taxonomy places the organism in Eukaryota, Metazoa, Arthropoda, Collembola, Entomobryomorpha, Isotomidae. The transcript is spliced from 3 exons. The record is from RefSeq and is a predicted model, not a curated record.